RNAcentral lists this small RNA (2339 nucleotides) under Rattus norvegicus (Norway rat). RNAcentral describes it as "uncharacterized LOC102548282". Lineage: Eukaryota; Metazoa; Chordata; Mammalia; Rodentia; Muridae. The record is from RNAcentral.
UUCCUGCCAUGAUGAUAAUGGACCGAACCUCUGAACCUGUAAGUCAGCCCCAAUUAAAUGUUGUCCUUUCUUAGAGUGGCCUUGGCCAUGGUAUCUGGUCACAACAGUAAAACCCUAGUUAAGGUAGUACACAAAUAGAGGUAACCUGCCAGCCCAUGCUCUCUCCAACAAAGGUGAGCUCUAGAAGUCUCCAUCCAUAGCUAAAUGAUCCUCAACCAAGUCAGGAACCUAGACUUCAUUGUCUGGGAUCGUUAACAGGUCGUGGGGAGCUGGGAGGUGACAUGCCUCAGGCUGGGGCAGCCUUAUGUGUUCUGUGAUUGUGCCGCUCUCAGGGCAGAGAGGAUCAUGAAACCCCAGAGGCUUGGAGGGAGACAGACAGAGGGCAUUUGCCUCGGAUCUCGAUCCUAGUCCAUUUUCUGUCAUUAUCACACACACACUUGCACGUGCACAUGUACCAAAAUAAAAUCCAUCUUCGUGGGUGAGUAUUUAGCUCACAGACUGGGAAACUAGAAGGCUAAGAUCAGAUGGCCCCAUCAGUUCAGCCUACGGUGAUGGCCCCCUUGUCUGAGUCACCCUGUGAUGAAGGAGGGAGGGAGACAUCACAGGAUGAGACCAGAUUAUUCACAUGACCCUCCUCCCAAACCCUCCCUUUCAUUUUCUAAUUUUAGAGACGGGAUCAUGUGUAACUCAGGCUAGCUUCAAACUCACGAUGUAACCUUGAAUUCGGAUCCCCAUCUUUACCAGAGUAGUGCUGGGAUUACAGGCAUUCACUGCCCUAUCGGGCUUAUGAACUCCAAGCUCGCUAGGCAAGCAAGCUACCAACUGAGCCACCUCCCCAGCCCUAGUUCAUAAACAUCAGAGUUGGCAACCACUCAAAAACAGACACAACUAAUUUAUUAAGUCUAAGGCAGAGAAAUCCAGGAACUAGGCUUGCUCUUUGAAAGCAAUUCAUUCUCUCAGGAACCAACAAGAAGGGCACGGAGAUGGCUCAGGGGUUAAGCAGAUCGCUUGGGUCCAGUUCUCUGCAUCCAUUUAGUGGCUCACAGACCAUCUCUGAUCCAGUUCCGGGGACCUAAUGCCCUUUCCAUAAAUAUUCCCCAGCUCUGACCACACUGGAGACCAGGCCUCCAGCACACGAGCUUUUAGGAGACAGCCCACAGCUGAUCCUAAAGCACUGCCCAUUCACUCAACAAAUGUAUUGAAUCUCUUCCCAGGUCACAAAAGGAGGGAUUUCCUGCUCCCAAGAGACCUACAAUAUAGGAGGAAUUGGUACUAAAGAGGGAAUAGAAGUCACGGUUGCAAGACAGGCAAGGUGGCAGUGACAGCUAUAAUACCAGCAGGUGGGCGCUAAGGCAGGAGGAUCAUCACGUGCUUAAGGCCAUCAAGACCCUGUCUCACAACUACGAAUCAGUACUACCCUGUCGGGAAGGAAGAACUGCCCUACUGUUUUCAAAACAGAGUGAAGAGACAGAGAUGGUUGAAAAGGCCUCUCUUUCUUUGUUUCUUUGAUUCUUUGUUUCUUUCUUUCUUUGUUCCUUUGUUUCUUUGAUCCUUUGACUCUUUCUUUCUUUCUUUCUUUCUUUCUUUCUUUCUUUCUUUCUUUCUUUCUUUCUUUCUUUCUGUAGUCUAUUUAUCUUACUCAUUACACUGGGAUGAAUUGAGCCAGACAUAGCAUUAGGGCGAUUGCCACCACAGACUUGUUUUCCAGGAGGGAAGGGAUUUUUCCUCUGGGGCGUGUGUUCUGAAGACUCAAGAGCAUGGGCGUGAGAAGUCCUGGGGCAGAGAUUAUGGUCAAGUCCCUGAGGUGGCAGGAGGCGCUACAGUCAUGAACCAGCCAGAAAGGCGCCUGGGCCUUUGUACAAGGAGAAGGGAGGGAGGGAGGGAAAGGGUUAGGCAACAAGCAGAUCUCCAUGAGGUUUGGUGAGAAACUUGGAAAGAUUCGGGUCCGUUGAGACAUCACUGAGAGGUUCUGUGUAGAGACACAGCAUUUUAAAAUCACUCUGAACAAUGCGUGCUAGCUCUAAUCUGUAAUCCUCAGGAAGAUUGCUGUGGGUCUGAGGGCAGCCUGGGCUAUGGAGUGAAUUCCAGACCAGAGCAGGCAACAAAAGUGUGGGGAUAAGGGGCUGCUUCUGACUUUCCGCAGCAGCUGACCGUGCUCUGUCUGCCUCGUGCUCUAGCAGAGGCGUGGUUUUGCCAGCUGCAGGAAGUUUCUGCGAUUGUGCGAUGUCUGGAACUCUGAGAACUUCUUAGAGGGGCCUUUGAACUUGUGGAAGAUUCUGACUCAUCCUGUCCAACCUCAGUCGUGCUUCCUCUUUCUCUUGCCCACUACAGCAGGAACA